Molecule: RNase P RNA, 309 nt
Filed under: Meriones unguiculatus (Mongolian gerbil)
Lineage: Eukaryota; Metazoa; Chordata; Mammalia; Rodentia; Muridae
Description: Nuclear RNase P (ENSMUGG00000026066.1)
Rfam family: Nuclear RNase P
About the family: Ribonuclease P (RNase P) is a ubiquitous endoribonuclease, found in archaea, bacteria and eukarya as well as chloroplasts and mitochondria. Its best characterised activity is the generation of mature 5'-ends of tRNAs by cleaving the 5'-leader elements of precursor-tRNAs.
Source: RNAcentral
GGCAGAGGAGGCUCACCACAGGGCACGUGCAGAGUGCAAUAGCUCCAGGCCCUUGGGAAGGUCUGAGGCUGGAGCUCCAAGUGAGCUCUCCCAAGUGCAGAGGAGAAUUCCCAGAGAGCAGAGCUCCCUGGGCUGGGCGGACUGGACAGGAGAAGGAGGCAGAAGCAAUGCAUGACUGUAGUAAACUAUUUUAUUCACAAAAUACAAUAAGAAGGACUUAUUUACUUUUACCAAAUCUUGGGCCCUGUAGAGUUACCUUCUUUAGAUUUUGUAGAGUUAUUUGCUUUUAUAAGAACCAAUCCCCUUAUC